RNAcentral lists this ribosomal RNA (474 nucleotides) under uncultured bacterium. Its description in RNAcentral is "bacterial SSU rRNA". It matches the Rfam family "Bacterial small subunit ribosomal RNA", at positions 335 to 801 of the family's 1533-position model. The record is from RNAcentral.
ACUCCUACGGGAGGCAGCAGUAGGGAAUCUUCCACAAUGGGCGCAAGCCUGAUGGAGCAACACCGCGUGAGUGAAGAAGGGUUUCGGCUCGUAAAGCUCUGUUGUUAAAGAAGAACACGUAUGAGAGUAACUGUUCAUACGUUGACGGUAUUUAACCAGAAAGUCACGGCUAACUACGUGCCAGCAGCCGUGGUAAUACGUAGGUGGCAAGCGUUAUCCGGAUUUAUUGGGGCGUAAAGAGAGUGCAGGCGGUUUUCUAAGUCUGAUGUGAAAGCCUUCGGCUUAACCGGAGAAGUGCAUCGGAAACUGGAUAACUUGAGUGCAGAAGAGGGUAGUGGAACUCCAUGUGUAGCGGUGGAAUGCGUAGAUAUAUGGAAGAACACCAGUGGCGAAGGCGGCUACCUGGUCUGCAACUGACGCUGAGACUCGAAAGCAUGGGUAGCGAACAGGAUUAGAUACCCUGGUAGGAUAGCG